Molecule: ribosomal RNA, 459 nt
Filed under: uncultured bacterium
Lineage: Bacteria
Description: partial 16S ribosomal RNA
Rfam family: Bacterial small subunit ribosomal RNA
Source: RNAcentral
CCUACGUGCGGCAGCAGUGAGGAAUAUUGGUCAAUGGGCGCGAGCCUGAACCAGCCAAGUCGCGUGAGGGAAGACGGUCCUAUGGAUUGUACACCUCUUUUGUCGGGGAGCAAAAGACGCCACGCGUGGCGUUCCGAGAGUACCCGAAGAAAAAGCAUCGGCUAACUCCGUGCCAGCAGCCGCGGUAAUACGGAGGAUGCGAGAGUUAUCCGGAUUUAUUGGGUUUAAAGGGUUCGCAGGCGGAAGAUCAAGUCAGCGGUAAAAUUGGAGGGCUCAACCUCUUCGAGCCGUUGAAACUGGUUUUCUUGAGUGAGCGAGAAGUAUGCGGAAUGCGUGGUGUAGCGGUGAAAUGCAUAGAUAUCACGCAGAACUCCGAUUGCGAAGGCAGCAUACCGGCGCUCAACUGACGCUCAUGCACGAAAGUGUGGGUAUCGAACAGGAUUAGAUACCCGAGUAGUC